GACCAAUUGGUAACGACAACCCAUCCAAAACAAACAUAGAAGCCACAAUCGAGAAAUCAAUUUGAAGAUUAAGAUAAAAGAAAAUUACCCAAACUAUUCAGCUCUUCAAUAAAGAGAUCAUAACCCAGCUCGCUUGAAGAAGAAACCCCGAUCGUUGUGAUAGAGAAUGAAGCAUUGCAGACUGAGAGAAAGGCGUUGACCUUUUCUGACACGAAGAAAGAAUAAACCCAGAUCGCUCCAUUAGAGAACAAAAGCGUUGCAGAGUAAGAGGAAGGCGUUGAGAGUCUGAGACAUGAAAAAAACAGAGAGAUUAAAACGGAAGGCUCAGGAACGCUCUGGAAGCGAGAGAAAAGACAGAAGUGGAGAGCAAAUUAGACAUUGCAACAGCCAAGAUAGCCCCAACACCUUGGCCCAACACCAGACCCAUGUGAGAUGCAGCACAAGCCCGCAGGAGACUGCACUGUUCUUCAGAACAAUAAGGCGGUGCCAGGCCGCAUAACAGAUAGUUAAAUCUCAAAGUCAUCUGUUGUUUCUGUAUUUCAAUCUCAAAAACCAAAAUACCAAGUGAUGUGUAGUUGCUUGGUUUCAUGACUUAAGAGAAGAGUGAGAGAGCUGAGAGAGCGACAAAGUUGAGAGAGAGGGCGAGAGAGUGAGAGUUGAGACAACAUUGAGAGAGAGAGGGCUUACUGUUGAGAGUGAGAGGGCGAGUUCAGAGUCGAUUUGUUUGAGAGUGAGAGUUGAGAGUCGAUCUGUUUGGUGGGUUUAGGGUGAAUGAAUGCGAGGGAGAGAGAGACAACGAUAUGAAUGCGAGAGAGUGAGAGUGUGAGACUAGCGUUUAGGGUUGGUGGGUACGAUAUUAAAUUUGUCAACUUUUUUCACACAACAGAAUAUAUACUCGGAGGGAAACUUUGGAGCCAAAACUAUUUUGGCAUAGCACACCAAAUCGAUGGAGGCAAACUUUGGAGCCAAAACAACUUUGGCAUGCCACCAGAUUUUCCAGUCACACAACCAAAUGUUUUAAACUGUUGUAUAUAUUUUCUAAACUUGCACUAGCUAGGUAUUACCUAGUAUAUAUUGUAACAACAUCAUACAACAAAGAAAUAAAAGUCUAUUGUCCA
Molecule: long non-coding RNA, 1118 nt
Filed under: Fragaria vesca (wild strawberry)
Lineage: Eukaryota; Viridiplantae; Streptophyta; Magnoliopsida; Rosales; Rosaceae
Description: long non-coding RNA (FVES_LNC004800)
Source: RNAcentral